This is a long non-coding RNA of Chinchilla lanigera (long-tailed chinchilla), 108 nucleotides long. RefSeq lists it as uncharacterized. The record is from RefSeq and is a predicted model, not a curated record. The transcript is spliced from 3 exons. NCBI's taxonomy places the organism in Eukaryota, Metazoa, Chordata, Mammalia, Rodentia, Chinchillidae.
UCAAGUACUGGGAUUACAGGUUGCUGUCCUUAAGAGAUGCGUCACCUCCCAAUCCGAAGCGUACUCACGAUUGAACCCAGAGCCUUGGAACUGAGCUAAGUUCCAUCC